AACCUCCGCAAUGUGAGAAAUCGCGACGGGGGGAUCCCAAGUGCCAUUCUUAACGGGAUGGCUUUUCAUUAGUGUAAAGAGCUUUUGGAAUAAGAGCUGGGCAAGACCGGUGCCAACCGCCGCGGUAACACCGGCAGCUCUAGUGGUAACAAUUUUUAUUGGGCCUAAAGCGUCCGUAGCCGGUUUAAUAAGUCUCUGGUGAAAUCCUGUAGCUUAACUGUGGGAAUUGCUGGAGAUACUAUUAGACUUGAGACCGGGAGAGGUUAGAGGUACUCCCAGGGUAGAGGUGAAAUUCUGUAAUCCUGGGAGGACCGCCUGUUGCGAAGGCGUCUAACUGGAACGGUUCUGACGGUGAGGGACGAAAGUUAGGGGCGCGAACCGGGAUUAGAUACCCGGGUAGUCCUAACUGUAAACGAUGCGGACUUGGUGUUGGGGUGGCUUUGAGCUGCUCCAGUGCCGAAGGGAAGCUGUUAAGUCCGCCGCCUGGGAAGUACGGUGCAGACUGAAACUUAAAGGAAUU
Molecule: ribosomal RNA, 520 nt
Filed under: uncultured bacterium
Lineage: Bacteria
Description: bacterial SSU rRNA
Rfam family: Archaeal small subunit ribosomal RNA
Source: RNAcentral